GCGCCCAUAGCUCAGAUGGAUAGAGUACAACCCUCCGAAGGUUGGGGUCAGGCGUUCGAGUCGCCUUGGGCGCGCCA
Molecule: transfer RNA, 77 nt
Filed under: Bacilli bacterium
Lineage: Bacteria; Bacillati; Bacillota; Bacilli
Description: tRNA-Arg
Source: RNAcentral